UGCUCCUACGGGACGCAGCAGUGAGGAAUAUUGGUCAAUGGGCGGGAGCCUGAACCAGCCAAGUCGCGUGAGGGAAGACGGUCCUAUGGAUUGUAAACCUCUUUAGGCGGGGAGCAAUGCCGGGCACGCGUGCCCGGAGGGAGAGUACCCGCAGAAUAAGCAUCGGCUAACUCCGUGCCAGCAGCCGCGGUAAUACGUAGGGGGCAAGCGUUAUCCGGAUUUACUGGGUGUAAAGGGAGCGCAGGCGGCAGCGCAAGUCUGAUGUGAAAGCCCGGGGCCCAACCGCGGGACUGCAUUGGAAACUG
This 305-nucleotide ribosomal RNA is filed under the name uncultured bacterium. RNAcentral's name for it is "bacterial SSU rRNA". It matches the Rfam family "Bacterial small subunit ribosomal RNA", at positions 334 to 635 of the family's 1533-position model. The record is from RNAcentral.